AUGUCUCCUGUUACUUUGUAUUUAUUCCUCACAGCUGCAGCUCUGUUAACCGGACAUUGUAGAGGAGACUCCGUUUCACAGACACCGUUUGCAGUCACAGCCAGUGAAGGAGACGAUGUUCAAUUAUUCUGUAAUUAUACAGCUACAAGCACCAGCGAUCCCUCUCUGUUCUGGUACCAUCAGUAUCCCAGCGGAUCCAUGGAGUAUCUGCUGUGGAGAAGCAGAUACAGUGGGAACACAGAAAGAGUUGCGGGAAACCGUUUUUCAGCGGAGCUUGAUUAUGUGAAUCGCACCGUCCCGCUGAUACUGUCUAAAACAGAACUGAGAGACUCCGCGGUGUAUUACUGCGCACUGAGACCCACAGAGACACAGAACGGGGUUGAACCUGUGCAAAAACUGUCAGAGCGACACCCAUCAUAA
Carcharodon carcharias (great white shark) is the source of this 420-nucleotide non-coding RNA. NCBI's taxonomy places the organism in Eukaryota, Metazoa, Chordata, Chondrichthyes, Lamniformes, Lamnidae. The record is from the annotation of a RefSeq genome assembly.